UACCAGACUCCUACGGGAGGCAGCAGUGGGGAAUAUUGCACAAUGGGGGAAACCCUGAUGCAGCAACGCCGCGUGAAGGAAGACGGUUUUCGGAUUGUAAACUUCUGUUCUUAGUGAAGAAGAAUGACGGUAGCUAAGGAGCAAGCCACGGCUAACUACGUGCCAGCAGCCGCGGUAAUACGUAGGUGGCAAGCGUUGUCCGGAUUUACUGGGUGUAAAGGGCGUGUAGCCGGGAAGGCAAGUCAGAUGUGAAAUCCGGAGGCUCAACCUCCGAAUUGCAUUUGAAACUGUUUUUCUUGAGUACUGGAGAGGCAGACGGAAUUCCUUGUGUAGCGGUGAAAAGCGUAGAUAUAAGGAGGAACACCAGUGGCGAAGGCGGUCUGCUGGACAGCAACUGACGGUGAGGCGCGAAAGCGUGGGGAGCAAACAGGAUUAGAUACCCUUGUAAU
This 449-nucleotide ribosomal RNA is filed under the name uncultured bacterium. Its description in RNAcentral is "partial 16S ribosomal RNA". It matches the Rfam family "Bacterial small subunit ribosomal RNA", at positions 329 to 794 of the family's 1533-position model. The record is from RNAcentral.